UGCUUUCCCUGUCCCAGUGCACCCUUCUCUCCCUCAGUGUCUCUGAGCUGAAGCAGCUGGUUGAGGGCCAUCAAGAACCAUACCUCCUUUGCUGGAACCAGUCACAAAACCAGGUACAGGUUGCUCUGAGCCAAGUGGCAGGCCCUGAGACUGUCUUAAGGGCUGCCACCCAUGGGCUGAUUCUCGGAGCCCUGCAGGAAGAUGGGCCACUUCCAGGGGAGCUGGCAGAGCUGAGGGACAGGGUUCAGGCUGGUCCUAAGAACGAAAGCUGGAUUCUUGUCAGGGAGACCCAUCAAGUGUUGGACACACUGUUCCCAAAGUUCUUGAAAGGUAACACCGUCUCCUGGCUUCUGCAGCCUUGGGUCCUGCCUGGGAAAUAAAGAACUGCGUUGUCUGUG
This 398-nucleotide long non-coding RNA is filed under the name Rattus norvegicus (Norway rat). Its description in RNAcentral is "long non-coding RNA NONRATT003240". Lineage: Eukaryota; Metazoa; Chordata; Mammalia; Rodentia; Muridae. The record is from RNAcentral.